This 965-nucleotide ribosomal RNA is filed under the name Listeria monocytogenes. Its description in RNAcentral is "partial 23S ribosomal RNA". It matches the Rfam family "Bacterial large subunit ribosomal RNA", at positions 232 to 1193 of the family's 2925-position model. The record is from RNAcentral. Lineage: Bacteria; Bacillati; Bacillota; Bacilli; Caryophanales; Listeriaceae.
CGAUUUCCUGAGUAGCGGCGAGCGAAACGGAAAGAGCCCAAACCAAGAAGCUUGCUUCUUGGGGUUGUAGGACACUCUAUACGGAGUUACAAAAGAAAGUUAUAAAUGAAGCGGUCUGGAAAGGCCCGCCAAAGACGGUAACAGCCCGGUAGUUGAAAUGGCUUUCCCUCCAGAGUGGAUCCUGAGUACGGCGGAACACGUGAAAUUCCGUCGGAAUCCGGGAGGACCAUCUCCCAAGGCUAAAUACUCCCUAGUGACCGAUAGUGAACCAGUACCGUGAGGGAAAGGUGAAAAGCACCCCGGAAGGGGAGUGAAACAGUUCCUGAAACCGUGUGCCUACAAGUAGUUAGAGCCCGUUAAUGGGUGAUAGCGUGCCUUUUGUAGAAUGAACCGGCGAGUUACGAUUUGUUGCAAGGUUAAGCGGAAAAAGCGGAGCCGUAGCGAAAGCGAGUCUGAAUAGGGCGCAUAAGUAACAGGUCGUAGACCCGAAACCAGGUGAUCUACCCAUGUCCAGGAUGAAGGUAAGGUAAUACUUACUGGAGGUCCGAACCCACGCACGUUGAAAAGUGCGGGGAUGAGGUGUGGGUAGCGGAGAAAUUCCAAUCGAACUUGGAGAUAGCUGGUUCUCUCCGAAAUAGCUUUAGGGCUAGCCUCGAGGUAAAGAGUCAUGGAGGUAGAGCACUGUUUGGACUAGGGGCCCUUCUCGGGUUACCGAAUUCAGAUAAACUCCGAAUGCCAUGUACUUAUACUCGGGAGUCAGACUGCGAGUGAUAAGAUCCGUAGUCGAAAGGGAAACAGCCCAGACCACCAGUUAAGGUCCCCAAAUAUAUGUUAAGUGGAAAAGGAUGUGGGGUUGCUUAGACAACCAGGAUGUUGGCUUAGAAGCAGCCACCAUUGAAAGAGUGCGUAAUAGCUCACUGGUCGAGUGACCCCGCGCCGAAAAUGUACCGGGGCUAAACAUAUUA